CCUACGGGUGGCUGCAGUGGGGAAUUUUGGACAAUGGGCGCAAGCCUGAUCCAGCAAUGCCGCGUGCAGGAUGAAGGCCUUCGGGUUGUAAACUGCUUUUGUACGGAACGAAACGGUCUGCUCUAAUACAGUGGGCUAAUGACGGUACCGUAAGAAUAAGCACCGGCUAACUACGUGCCAGCAGCCGCGGUAAUACGUAGGGUGCGAGCGUUAAUCGGAAUUACUGGGGGUAGUGCGAGAGCAGGGGGUUGAAAUCCCCGGGCUCAACCUGGGACCUGCAUUUGUGACUGUAUAGCUAGAGUACGGCAGAGGGGGAUGGAAUUCCGCGUGUAGCAGUGAAAUGCGUAGAUAUGCGGAGGAACACCGAUGGCGAAGGCAAUCCCCUGGGCCUGUACUGACGCUCAUGCACGAAAGCGUGGGGAGCAAACAGGAUUAGAUACCCGUGUAGUC
RNAcentral lists this ribosomal RNA (450 nucleotides) under uncultured bacterium. Its description in RNAcentral is "partial 16S ribosomal RNA". It matches the Rfam family "Bacterial small subunit ribosomal RNA", at positions 338 to 795 of the family's 1533-position model. The record is from RNAcentral.